AACAAUUUGUCCUUUGACGCAUAUGUAUUUUGGUUAACUUUCUCCAAUGAACUUUUAAACGUGGACUUAUUAAAGAUAGAUAUGCAUCAUGCAUGUCUCUUCCACGUUGAUAUUUUGCAAAGUCAGGAGAAUCUCUUCCUUAUGAUGUUGCAUGUCAUUUUAGAAGAAAAAAAAAUUUGUUGGUUACAAAAGAAAUAAUAACGGAUUAUUUCAGUCACUCUACUACAAUUUGGCUUCCAAAAGUUAUAAAGUGACCGAAUAUUAAAAAAAGCAUAAACUAAUCCUAAAAUAAGUAAGAAAAUAUUAUUUCUUUAUAGGGAAAAUGAAACUAACUAGUUUACAAAAAAAAAAAUGAAACUAACUCUCCACUUUUUCUCUUGAUCUUAUGUUCACCUGUCACGUUACCGGUACGUGGCUUAUCGAUCAGGAAAUGCCCAGAUACUGAGCCCACCUCUCACAAGUCACAAGUCACGCCUCCAACAUUUAUUUC
This 490-nucleotide long non-coding RNA is filed under the name Brassica rapa (field mustard). RNAcentral describes it as "long non-coding RNA (BRAP_LNC003199)". The record is from RNAcentral. Lineage: Eukaryota; Viridiplantae; Streptophyta; Magnoliopsida; Brassicales; Brassicaceae.